UAGUUGUUGGAGCGAGCCAUCCAUGAAAACAAGCUUCUGCUUACUACAUAGGAACCUGGAUGGGAUUGAUCUCGAUCUCAUCGGACAUGACAAAUGGUGAGAGGGUGGAGAUUAAUGAGCAAUAGUCUAGCAAUCACUUACUGAGAAAGUAAUAACACCAGUAAAGAAAUCUUGCCAUUUGUGGUAGUAGUGGGAAGAAAAUCUGACAAUAUCUUACCAUAAGGGACC
This 228-nucleotide long non-coding RNA is filed under the name Elaeis guineensis (African oil palm). RNAcentral's name for it is "long non-coding RNA (EGUI_LNC008112)". Lineage: Eukaryota; Viridiplantae; Streptophyta; Magnoliopsida; Arecales; Arecaceae. The record is from RNAcentral.